AUGUCAAAUCAUCAUGCCCCUUAUGUCUUGGGCUACACACGUGCUACAAUGGCGCAUACAAAGUGAAGCAAGAUCGCGAGAUGGAGCCAAUCACAAAAAAGCGCCUCAGUUCGGAUUGCAGGCUGCAACUCGCCUGCAUGAAGUUGGAAUCGCUAGUAAUCGCGAAUCAUCAUGUCGCGGUGAAUACGUUCCCGGGCCUU
Molecule: ribosomal RNA, 200 nt
Filed under: uncultured prokaryote
Description: partial 16S ribosomal RNA
Rfam family: Bacterial small subunit ribosomal RNA
Source: RNAcentral